AUUGAACGCUGGCGGCAUGCCUUACACAUGCAAGUCGAGCGGCAGCACGGGAGCAAUCCUGGUGGCGAGUGGCGAACGGGUGAGUAAUAUGUCGGAACGUGCCCAGUCGUGGGGGAUAACGCAGCGAAAGCUGUGCUAGUACCGCAUACGAUCUACGGAUGAAAGCGGGGGAUCGCAAGACCUUGCGCGCUUGUAGCGGCCGAUAUCAGAUUAGCUAGUUGGUGGGGUAAAGGCUCACCAAGGCGACGAUCUGUAGCUGGUCUGAGAGGACGACCAGCCACACUGGAACUGAGACACGGUCCAGACUCCUACGGGAGGCAGCAGUGGGGAAUUUUGGACAAUGGGCGCAAGCCUGAUCCAGCAAUGCCGCGUGCAGGAUGAAGGCCUUCGGGUUGUAAACUGCUUUUGUACGGAGCGAAACGGUCUUUCCUAAUACGAGAGGCUAAUGACGGUACCGUAAGAAUAAGCACCGGCUAACUACGUGCCAGCAGCCGCCGUAA
This 500-nucleotide ribosomal RNA is filed under the name uncultured bacterium. Its description in RNAcentral is "partial 16S ribosomal RNA". It matches the Rfam family "Bacterial small subunit ribosomal RNA", at positions 30 to 523 of the family's 1533-position model. The record is from RNAcentral.